UACGGAGGGUGCAAACGUUGCUCGGAAUUAUUGGGCGUAAAGCGCACGUAGGCGGCUUGUUGUGUCCGGUGUGAAAUCCCUCGGCUUAACCGAGGAAGUGCAUUGGAAACUGGCAAGCUUGAGUACUGAAGAGGGUCGCGGAAUUCCCGGUGUAGAGGUGAAAUUCGUAGAUAUCGGGAGGAACACCAGUGGCGAAGGCGGCGACCUGGGCAGAUACUGACGCUGAGGUGCGAAAGCGUGGGGAGCAAACAGG
This 253-nucleotide ribosomal RNA is filed under the name uncultured bacterium. RNAcentral's name for it is "partial 16S ribosomal RNA". It matches the Rfam family "Bacterial small subunit ribosomal RNA", at positions 524 to 776 of the family's 1533-position model. The record is from RNAcentral.